This 346-nucleotide unclassified non-coding RNA is filed under the name soil metagenome. RNAcentral describes it as "partial contains 5.8S ribosomal RNA, internal transcribed spacer 2, and large subunit ribosomal RNA". The stretch from base 1 to 120 matches the Rfam family "5.8S ribosomal RNA", at positions 35 to 154 of the family's 154-position model. The record is from RNAcentral.
GAUGAAGAACGUAGCGAAAUGCGAUACGUAAUGUGAAUUGCAGAAUUCAGUGAAUCAUCGAGUCUUUGAACGCACAUUGCGCCCCCUGGUAUUCCGGGGGGCAUGCCUGUCCGAGCGUCAUUGCUGCCCUCAAGCACGGCUUGUGUGUUGGGCCUCCGUCCUCCUCCCGGGGGACGGGCCCGAAAGGCAGCGGCGGCACCGCGUCCGGUCCUCGAGCGUAUGGGGCUUCGUCACCCGCUCUGUAGGCCCGGCCGGCGCCCGCCGGCGACCCCAAUCAAUCUUUCCAGGUUGACCUCGGAUCAGGUAGGGAUACCCGCUGAACUUAAGCAUAUCAAUAAGCGGAGGA